GCUCGACGGUUUCCAAGUGCUCUCAAUCACUGACGCCUGGGCAAGUCCACAUUGCAAUGAAAAGUGGUUAAUAUCGGACAACGGUCUUAAAACGUCGGGCUCUCAAUUGUUUCCUUGAACGGAUUAAUGUGGAAAUUCAGUGGCGACUUUUGGGAAGUGGUACCGACCUACUGACUGACCUGAAAAGAACUGACAGCCUUGCAAACUAUUUUUCUUUCCAUGUUACAGCGGGAAUAACUUGCAGACAAUGGUUAAAUAUGCUCUAAAAUUGCACGAUACACAUACACAACCUGUUUCCGAGCCUGAUGCAUUCUCUGACUAUGUGGCUACACGCAUAGACACUCUCUCCCUCUCUCUCUCUCACACACACACAAACACGUAAACAAAUAAAGUUAAAAUAAUGUACUGGAAAAGUCAGAUCUUCGCUCAACAGUUCAUGAGCCCUUUCUCGGAUGAUUUCGACCCUCCAAACCCCCAGCUGGCUAACGUUGCUUCUUCCUAGUAUUUUAUACCAAGGACAAUUCUCAGAUUAUUAUUUCUUCGGUCCUCCUUCUUCCCACAACCUGCCCCCCUGACUCGAAUAACGCGAAAAUUGCCGCUCCGAUGCAAGAGGCUCCGAAGACAGCAGCUUCAGGAAUUGCGCACCAGCCCUGCGAGGAGCAAUGUGUGGGCUCUCUCAAACGUAAGGGACGACUGGCUGGGGAAAAGGCAGAGCUGCAGCUAUUCACACUUCGUGGGCCGGGAGACUUCUUUCAAAAGAGCCCUGAAGUAUUUAGGAUUUGGGGGAAAACCCUUGUACCGGAAGAAAAUGGCCUAAACACAAUAGGACUCGCCAUUUUCUCCUUCCAAAGCACAAAGCAGCUCCGCGGCUUCAGCACCACACAAAGAAAGCCCGGACCCUCUGAAUUCUCUUACAUUUUCCCCCCACCGUUUCAAAAGCCUUUCCCUCUAAGCGAUCCGCUUUCCCAGGAAUGCUCACACAGAAAUAAAGGAAGAAAGAAAAGAGGGGAGGGGGAGAAAAGCGACUAGCUAAAGAGAGAGAAGACAGUUUUGAUCUUAGUUUAUUUAAAUCAAAUCCUGCCAGGGAAAAGUCACACUCUCACAUGUGCUCUUGAGGGAAAAAAUAAAUAAUAAUAACAAUAAAAAUAAAACCAUCUGGAAAGCUGUUUUGACCACCGCAUUCCUUCAAGCUGGGCGGACUCGCGUUGCGCCACAGAGACUCGAGCAAGACCACGCUGCCUGAGGAUGUGUAUGUACACACACAGGCGCACACACACACACACGCUCCGGAGAAAAAUGUCUUUUCGGGCCGGCUAAACCCACAAUCUGGUGUCGAAAAUGCCCCCGUGCCCCCCGCACCGCCGGGAUCCGCCGGUCCUCCGCGCCCGCGGGGCUCCCGCGGCUCGGCCGCCUCCCCGCGCCGCCCGCUCCCCCUCGCCGGGCUCUGCCUUAUUUAGGUAACUCGGCAGGAGGCUGAUAAAGAGGCGAUGAUAUUAAAAAGACAGAGAGGGAACAACAAAGAAGCAAGCCAAACCCGAGCAACUCAAACCCAAACCGCAGCGGCCUCUCGGCAUCGCUCAGAAAUGCAGCAGGAGAUUUUGUACUUACAGCCAGCGCUAAAGUUCACUUUAAACCGAGGAAACAGGAUACUCUUUUGCUUCCAAUGAUACAAGCAAUCUCCAGAAACAGCACUGCACUAACCUAGUCCUGAGACCAGUUCCUUUGGAAAGACUGUAAUAUGAGUGACAUGGAAAAUUUAAAAAAAUACUGUGAAAUCUAGAGAUGUUUUCAUGUUGUCAUUUCAGAUAUAACCUUCCCUUUCACCAGAUGAUUUUUUUAUAGUUGAAGUACUAGACUGCCUAAACCUAGCCUCUCAAAAUAAUGUUUAAUAUGAAUGUGGUUAAUUGCAUUGAGCUUCUUCAUAUACUGAUUAUCCUCGGUGCAUUAUCAGGGCACUCUGAAAUGCUCUUCGGUGGCAAGAAAAGAACCUUAAUAUAUGGGAAAAAAUGGCUAGUCAUCCUCGAGUAAGAUUUUGUUUUGUAGAGUGCAUGUCAUGGUCCUUUGCAAGCCUGGAAGCAAUGUGAAUCAAACGCCUCGGAAGAAGACCUACGUCGACAAAGGCUCCAUGUACAGCAUGCUCUAAUUAUUAAAGCUCAUUCCCUGAUUUAGGACUCUAUUUUCCUUAGCGAGCCCAUCACCCUGACACGACGCUGCUCAGGAUGUUUGUUCAAAGCUUAUGAAAAUGUAACCCAACUCAUUGCUAGAAGUUGUUGCUAAUUAGUUGAUAAUAAACUUCUCCGGACGGGACACAAAAGUC
This is a long non-coding RNA of Oxyura jamaicensis (ruddy duck), 2317 nucleotides long. RefSeq lists it as uncharacterized. The transcript has 2 exons. NCBI's taxonomy places the organism in Eukaryota, Metazoa, Chordata, Aves, Anseriformes, Anatidae. The record is from RefSeq and is a predicted model, not a curated record.